This 468-nucleotide ribosomal RNA is filed under the name uncultured bacterium. RNAcentral describes it as "partial 16S ribosomal RNA". It matches the Rfam family "Bacterial small subunit ribosomal RNA", at positions 28 to 507 of the family's 1533-position model. The record is from RNAcentral.
GACGAACGCUGGCGGCGUGCUUAACACAUGCAAGUCGAACGGAAAGGCCCUGCUUUUGUGGGGUGCUCGAGUGGCGAACGGGUGAGUAACACGUGAGUAACCUGCCCUUGACUUUGGGAUAACUUCAGGAAACUGGGGCUAAUACCGGAUAGGAGCUCCUGAUGCAUGUUGGGGGUUGGAAAGUUUCGGCGGUUGGGGAUGGACUCGCGGCUUAUCAGCUUGUUGGUGGGGUAGUGGCUUACCAAGGCUUUGACGGGUAGCCGGCCUGAGAGGGUGACCGGCCACAUUGGGACUGAGAUACGGCCCAGACUCCUACGGGAGGCAGCAGUGGGGAAUAUUGCACAAUGGGCGGAAGCCUGAUGCAGCAACGCCGCGUGCGGGAUGACGGCCUUCGGGUUGUAAACCGCUUUCGCCUGUGACGAAGCGUGAGUGACGGUAAUGGGUAAAGAAGCACCGGCUAACUACGUG